This is a long non-coding RNA of Zalophus californianus (California sea lion), 581 nucleotides long. RefSeq lists it as uncharacterized. The transcript is spliced from 3 exons. The record is from RefSeq and is a predicted model, not a curated record. NCBI's taxonomy places the organism in Eukaryota, Metazoa, Chordata, Mammalia, Carnivora, Otariidae.
CUGAGGGUCCGCCCACGCGGCCCUGCUCUGUGCAGCUGCCGGCCGGGCAGGCGCCUGGGGUGGAAAUCAACCAUUCAUCUCCUUCUCCUAAGAGAAGUGUGACUCAGACGGCAAAGAGCAAGAGGAGCCCAGCUCAACCUUAUAAAACAUGCAGGGCAAGGCGAAGCACCUGUGAUCACAAACGGUGGAUAGGAUGUGGAAGAAGGAAGAAUAAACCAGGGGCGACUUGAAUUCUGGCAAGUGGUGAGAGGCUUUCCAGUCUGAAUCACCUACGAGGUAGAGAAUGUAGUAAAACCAUUCUGAACUGCUCUCACUCCCUCCAGCUGAGAGGCUCGGCAAGGGUCCCCUCCACACACUAAUCGCCAUCAUGCUUACCUCCUUCUGAAGUGGCCAACACUCAGGCCUCCUCCAGGUAAGAUGUUGGUUCCGAUGUGACGUGAAGUUCUAGGAGAUCAACCCUGGAGGGCAAUUUGAUGUAUUGUCUCGGAGGCCUCCAUGGGGUGUGCCCCCUGACCCAGAACUUCCAUGGCCAGAGGUUCAUCUGAAGGAAUAUCAUCUGUACAGAGCUUUUAAUUGUGAAA